AAGUAGUAAUAGGUAUAAUCUUGAAACUUAAAAGAUUUGGCGGUAUUUUAUCUUGUUAGAGGAACCUGUAUGUUAAACGAUAUUCCACGACUUAAUUUACUUUAUUUAAAAUACUUGUAUACCGCUGUCAUGAAUAUACUUAAAAGUAAAAUUUCUUUAUUUUUAUUUAAUUAAUGUUAGGUCAAGGUGCAGUUUAAUAAGUAAGUAUGGGUUACUUUGAUAAUUAUGAAUGUAGCUAUUUAUUAGAAUUAGGAUUUAAUAGUAAGUUUAUUAAAGUAAUAUGUUGAAUGAAGAUUCUAAAAUAUG
RNAcentral lists this ribosomal RNA (306 nucleotides) under Epheloscyta sancta. Its description in RNAcentral is "partial 12S ribosomal RNA". The record is from RNAcentral. Lineage: Eukaryota; Metazoa; Arthropoda; Insecta; Hemiptera; Aphalaridae.